AGUCACUGACAUUAGAUACCCGGUAGUCCAGGGUGUAAACGCUGCCGACUUGGUGUUGGAGGCCCUUCGGGGGCAUUCAGUGCCGGAGAGAAGUUGUUAAGUCGGCCACUUGGGGAGUACGUCCGCAAGGAUGAAACUUAAAAGAAUUGGCGGGGGGAGCACCGCAACGGGAGGAGCGUGCGGUUUAAUUGGAUUCAACACCGGAAAACUCACCAAGGGCGACUGUUACAUGAAAGCCAGGCUAAUGACCUUGCUUGAUUUUCAG
This 265-nucleotide ribosomal RNA is filed under the name uncultured archaeon. RNAcentral's name for it is "partial 16S ribosomal RNA". It matches the Rfam family "Archaeal small subunit ribosomal RNA", at positions 718 to 982 of the family's 1478-position model. The record is from RNAcentral.